UGUCUAGUAGUUCAGUGGUAGAACGCCACACUGUUAAUGUGGAUGUCGCUGGUUCGAACCCGGCCUGGACAG
RNAcentral lists this transfer RNA (72 nucleotides) under Oenococcus sicerae. RNAcentral describes it as "tRNA-Asn(gtt)". It matches the Rfam family "tRNA". Rfam says of the family: Transfer RNA (tRNA) molecules are approximately 80 nucleotides in length. Their secondary structure includes four short double-helical elements and three loops (D, anti-codon, and T loops). Lineage: Bacteria; Bacillati; Bacillota; Bacilli; Lactobacillales; Lactobacillaceae. The record is from RNAcentral.